AUGGGUGCGCGGAAAUCUUGAAAUAGCAGGGUAGCUGCUUGACCAUUGCUGCUGUCACCACUUGAUUUUGUGAGGUGACUGUUGCCAUUGUUGUGGCAGAAAUGGCUGCCACCAUAGACAUGAUGACAGCAAUAAGGGCAGAAAUUUCAAAAUUUUUCUUACUGUGGGAUGAAGCAUACGAUUAAAGAGAUGAUCUGAACUUUUCAUUCCAAAGGGAGAUCAACGGGGACCCAAACGGCCCAGGGUGUUCUAGCAAAAUAUAAACUCCCAAGUUUCUGUACGAUUAAACAAAGAAGGAUCGAUAAAAGCGGUAAAACAAACACAAAAGGGGAAGGCAGAACAAGAAAAGAGAUGGGGGGGUUAGGUACUUGAUUUGCCCAGGACGAAGUAGAGAUGGAAGGCUUUGUGGCAAGAAGGUUGUUCCUGAGCGGACAGCGCCAGUAGCCACAGGCCGGGGAACAACCAGCCCCUGUGGCCACAUGCGGGGGACAGCGCAGCCCCCGUCUAGCCGGCCUUGCCCCGUACUCGCAACCCUCUCCCCGCUGGGCCCUAACGCGUCCUGGGGAGUGGGGCCCCGCAAGCAGCUGGGGUGACAGGAUCCACAGUGGGAGGCAGGCACAGUGGAGGCCAGGGAAGACAAAAGGACCUUCGGCCGCAGACCAGGCUCCCCUCCCACCUCCGGGCAGCAGGCCCCAGGGACCCGAAGCUGCAGGUCUUUUGCUCUGAAACUUUUCCGGAGCUCUCAGCUAUGCCAGAUCGGGCUUUGGAGGAGGAGUCUGGGCAGUGUGGAGGCCCAGGACCCCGAAGCCAUGCUAAGGCAGGAUCGAAAGGAUUGUUUCUCCUCAUCCGGCAAGAUGGCGGCGCACAUGGUGGAGGCAGCCAUCUUGGAUCGGAAAAGAUGACAAUGAAGAAAAGGUCCAAAGGGGAAGGGGAAGUGCGAGGCACAGGGGAAAUGAAAGAAGGCAAAGGAAUAAAUAUGAGAAAAGAAAAAAAAUGAAAACAAAGUCUUCUGUAAAUAGGGUUACAGGGGGGAAUGGGGAAAAAAAUAGGCACCAAGAUAUAUCAUGUAAAGGUACAAAUUCCCAGUGAUGAAGUCAUCAUAUUGUAUACCUAAAAUGUACCAAUAAACUUACCAAAUAAAAGGGGCUGGGGAUUUAGCUCACUCUGCACCUGCCUUGCAAGCACAAUGUCCUGAGUUGAGUUAGAUCCCUGGUACAGCAAAAUGAACAAAACAAGACCAAAACAAAAAAAAACCUUAAUGAAUUAAAAAAAAAGAAAAGUAAGACAAUGCAGUCUAGUGUUUAAAAUGUAUGUAAAAUGUAUGACAACAGUAGCAGGAAGGAUAAGAGAGAAGCAGAAGUAUAUGGUAUGCGAUAGCCAGCUUCUAAGAUGCCCCCCA
RNAcentral lists this long non-coding RNA (1399 nucleotides) under Fukomys damarensis (Damara mole-rat). RNAcentral describes it as "lncRNA (ENSFDAG00000025603.1)". Lineage: Eukaryota; Metazoa; Chordata; Mammalia; Rodentia; Bathyergidae. The record is from RNAcentral.